GGUUAAGCGACUAAGCGUACACGGUGGAUGCCCUGGCAGUCAGAGGCGAUGAAGGACGUGCUAAUCUGCGAUAAGCGUCGGUAAGGUGAUAUGAACCGUUAUAACCGGCGAUUUCCGAAUGGGGAAACCCAGUGUGUUUCGACACACUAUCAUUAACUGAAUCCAUAGGUUAAUGAGGCGAACCGGGGGAACUGAAACAUCUAAGUACCCCGAGGAAAAGAAAUCAACCGAGAUUCCCCCAGUAGCGGCGAGCGAACGGGGAGCAGCCCAGAGCCUGAAUCAGUGUGUGUGUUAGUGGAAGCGUCUGGAAAGGCGCGCGAUACAGGGUGACAGCCCCGUACACAAAAAUGCACAUGCUGUGAGCUCGAUGAGUAGGGCGGGACACGUGGUAUCCUGUCUGAAUAUGGGGGGACCAUCCUCCAAGGCUAAAUACUCCUGACUGACCGAUAGUGAACCAGUACCGUGAGGGAAAGGCGAAAAGAACCCCGGCGAGGGGAGUGAAAAAGAACCUGAAACCGUGUACGUACAAGCAGUGGGAGCACGCUUAGGCGUGUGACUGCGUACCUUUUGUAUAAUGGGUCAGCGACUUAUAUUCUGUAGCAAGGUUAACCGAAUAGGGGAGCCGAAGGGAAACCGAGUCUUAACUGGGCGUUAAGUUGCAGGGUAUAGACCCGAAACCCGGUGAUCUAGCCAUGGGCAGGUUGAAGGUUGGGUAACACUAACUGGAGGACCGAACCGACUAAUGUUGAAAAAUUAGCGGAUGACUUGUGGCUGGGGGUGAAAGGCCAAUCAAACCGGGAGAUAGCUGGUUCUCCCCGAAAGCUAUUUAGGUAGCGCCUCGUGAAUUCAUCUCCGGGGGUAGAGCACUGUUUCGGCAAGGGGGUCAUCCCGACUUACCAACCCGAUGCAAACUGCGAAUACCGGAGAAUGUUAUCACGGGAGACACACGGCGGGUGCUAACGUCCGUCGUGAAGAGGGAAACAACCCAGACCGCCAGCUAAGGUCCCAAAGUCAUGGUUAAGUGGGAAACGAUGUGGGAAGGCCCAGACAGCCAGGAUGUUGGCUUAGAAGCAGCCAUCAUUUAAAGAAAGCGUAAUAGCUCACUGGUCGAGUCGGCCUGCGCGGAAGAUGUAACGGGGCUAAACCAUGCACCGAAGCUGCGGCAGCGACACUGUGUGUUGUUGGGUAGGGGAGCGUUCUGUAAGCCUGUGAAGGUGUACUGUGAGGUAUGCUGGAGGUAUCAGAAGUGCGAAUGCUGACAUAAGUAACGAUAAAGCGGGUGAAAAGCCCGCUCGCCGGAAGACCAAGGGUUCCUGUCCAACGUUAAUCGGGGCAGGGUGAGUCGACCCCUAAGGCGAGGCCGAAAGGCGUAGUCGAUGGGAAACAGGUUAAUAUUCCUGUACUUGGUGUUACUGCGAAGGGGGGACGGAGAAGGCUAUGUUGGCCGGGCGACGGUUGUCCCGGUUUAAGCGUGUAGGCUGGUUUUCCAGGCAAAUCCGGAAAAUCAAGGCUGAGGCGUGAUGACGAGGCACUACGGUGCUGAAGCAACAAAUGCCCUGCUUCCAGGAAAAGCCUCUAAGCAUCAGGUAACAUCAAAUCGUACCCCAAACCGACACAGGUGGUCAGGUAGAGAAUACCAAGGCGCUUGAGAGAACUCGGGUGAAGGAACUAGGCAAAAUGGUGCCGUAACUUCGGGAGAAGGCACGCUGAUAUGUAGGUGAAGUCCCUCGCGGAUGGAGCUGAAAUCAGUCGAAGAUACCAGCUGGCUGCAACUGUUUAUUAAAAACACAGCACUGUGCAAACACGAAAGUGGACGUAUACGGUGUGACGCCUGCCCGGUGCCGGAAGGUUAAUUGAUGGGGUCAGCGCAAGCGAAGCUCUUGAUCGAAGCCCCGGUAAACGGCGGCCGUAACUAUAACGGUCCUAAGGUAGCGAAAUUCCUUGUCGGGUAAGUUCCGACCUGCACGAAUGGCGUAAUGAUGGCCAGGCUGUCUCCACCCGAGACUCAGUGAAAUUGAACUCGCUGUGAAGAUGCAGUGUACCCGCGGCAAGACGGAAAGACCCCGUGAACCUUUACUAUAGCUUGACACUGAACAUUGAGCCUUGAUGUGUAGGAUAGGUGGGAGGCUUAGAAGUGUGGACGCCAGUCUGCAUGGAGCCGACCUUGAAAUACCACCCUUUAAUGUUUGAUGUUCUAACGUUGACCCGUGAUCCGGGUUGCGGACAGUGUCUGGUGGGUAGUUUGACUGGGGCGGUCUCCUCCUAAAGAGUAACGGAGGAGCACGAAGGUUGGCUAAUCCUGGUCGGACAUCAGGAGGUUAGUGCAAUGGCAUAAGCCAGCUUGACUGCGAGCGUGACGGCGCGAGCAGGUGCGAAAGCAGGUCAUAGUGAUCCGGUGGUUCUGAAUGGAAGGGCCAUCGCUCAACGGAUAAAAGGUACUCCGGGGAUAACAGGCUGAUACCGCCCAAGAGUUCAUAUCGACGGCGGUGUUUGGCACCUCGAUGUCGGCUCAUCACAUCCUGGGGCUGAAGUAGGUCCCAAGGGUAUGGCUGUUCGCCAUUUAAAGUGGUACGCGAGCUGGGUUUAGAACGUCGUGAGACAGUUCGGUCCCUAUCUGCCGUGGGCGCUGGAGAACUGAGGGGGGCUGCUCCUAGUACGAGAGGACCGGAGUGGACGCAUCACUGGUGUUCGGGUUGUCAUGCCAAUGGCACUGCCCGGUAGCUAAAUGCGGAAGAGAUAAGUGCUGAAAGCAUCUAAGCACGAAACUUGCCCCGAGAUGAGUUCUCCCUGACUCCUUGAGAGUCCUGAAGGAACGUUGAAGACGACGACGUUGAUAGGCCGGGUGUGUAAGCGCAGCGAUGCGUUGAGCUAACCGGUACUAAUGAACCGUGAGGCUUAACCUU
RNAcentral lists this ribosomal RNA (2903 nucleotides) under Escherichia coli. RNAcentral describes it as "23S ribosomal RNA". It matches the Rfam family "Bacterial large subunit ribosomal RNA". The record is from RNAcentral. Lineage: Bacteria; Pseudomonadati; Pseudomonadota; Gammaproteobacteria; Enterobacterales; Enterobacteriaceae.